RNAcentral lists this ribosomal RNA (376 nucleotides) under uncultured Acetobacter sp. Its description in RNAcentral is "bacterial SSU rRNA". It matches the Rfam family "Bacterial small subunit ribosomal RNA", at positions 505 to 879 of the family's 1533-position model. Lineage: Bacteria; Pseudomonadati; Pseudomonadota; Alphaproteobacteria; Acetobacterales; Acetobacteraceae. The record is from RNAcentral.
GUGCCAGCCGCCGCGGUAAUACGAAGGGGGCUAGCGUUGCUCGGAAUGACUGGGCGUAAAGGGCGUGUAGGCGGUUUGUACAGUCAGAUGUGAAAUCCCCGGGCUUAACCUGGGAGCUGCAUUUGAUACGUGCAGACUAGAGUGUGAGAGAGGGUUGUGGAAUUCCCAGUGUAGAGGUGAAAUUCGUAGAUAUUGGGAAGAACACCGGUGGCGAAGGCGGCAACCUGGCUCAUGACUGACGCUGAGGCGCGAAAGCGUGGGGAGCAACAGGAUUAGAUACCCUGGUAGUCCACGCCGUAAACGAUGAGUGCUAAGUGGUUGGAGGUUUCCGCCUUCGAGUGCUGCAGCUAACGCAUUAAGCACUCCGCCGUGGGGA